CCCUUAGAUGUUCGGGGCCGCACGCGCGCUACACUGAAGGAAUCAGCACGUCUUUCUCCUUGUCCGAAAGGACUGGGUAACCCGCUGAACCUCCUUCGUGCUAGGGAUUGGGGCUUGUAAUUCUUCCCCAUGAACGAGGAAUUCCCAGUAAGCGCGAGUCAUAAGCUCGCGUUGAUUACGUCCCUGCCCUUUGUACACACCGCCCGUCGCUACUACCGAUUGGUUGGUUUAGUGAGAUCCUCGGAUUGGUCCCGGCGCGGCCUCUGGUCGUGCCGGAGUGCCGAAAAGAAUGUCGAACUUGAUCAUCUAGAGGAAGUAAAAGUCGUAACA
RNAcentral lists this ribosomal RNA (330 nucleotides) under uncultured eukaryote. RNAcentral describes it as "partial 18S ribosomal RNA". It matches the Rfam family "Eukaryotic small subunit ribosomal RNA", at positions 1470 to 1796 of the family's 1831-position model. The record is from RNAcentral.